CAAUAGCGUAUAUUAAAGUUGUUGCAGUUAAAAAGCUCGUAGUUGGAUUUCUGGUGGGAGCGAUCGGUCUGGCGCUUAGCGCGAGUACUUGCAUCGUCUCCGGCCAUCCUUGGGGAGAGUCUGUCUGGCAUUAAGUUGUCGGGCAGAGGAUCCUCAUCGUUUACUGUGAAAAAAUUAGAGUGUUCAAAGCAGGCUUAUGCCGUUGAAUAUAUUAGCAUGGAAUAAUAAGAUAGGACUUUGGUACUAUUUUGUUGGUUUGCGCACCAAAGUAAUGAUUAAUAGGGACAGUUGGGGGUAUUCGUACUCCGUUGUCAGAGGUGAAAUUCUUGGAUUUACGGAAGACGAACUACUGCGAAAGCAUUUACCAAGGAUGUUUUCAUUAA
Molecule: ribosomal RNA, 383 nt
Filed under: uncultured eukaryote
Lineage: Eukaryota
Description: partial 18S ribosomal RNA
Rfam family: Eukaryotic small subunit ribosomal RNA
Source: RNAcentral